Molecule: unclassified non-coding RNA, 170 nt
Filed under: uncultured fungus
Lineage: Eukaryota; Fungi
Description: sequence contains ITS1
Source: RNAcentral
GUGAAAUAACCUGGGACUUGACGUCCCAAACCAUCUCACAUCCACACACCUUUGUGCACUGUUGAAUGGGCCUGACUGAAUAAUUCAUUUUUCUUCGGGCCUAUUCUAUUAUAUUACAAACAUCUUAUGUAUGUAAGGAAAGUGUUAUUGGAAUAAUAAUAAUAAUAAUA